UAACCUCUGGCGAAAAUCGUGAAUGUUA
Regulatory RNA element from Mangrovimonas yunxiaonensis, 28 nucleotides. It matches the Rfam family "L19-Flavobacteria ribosomal protein leader". The record is from Rfam. Lineage: Bacteria; Pseudomonadati; Bacteroidota; Flavobacteriia; Flavobacteriales; Flavobacteriaceae.